UACGGAGGGUGCGAGCGUUAUCCGGAAUUACUGGGUUUAAAGGGUGCGUAGGCGGCUUGGUAAGUCAGGAGUGAAAGUUUGCGGCUCAACCGUAAAAUUGCUUUUGAUACUGCCAGGCUGGAAUCAGGAUGAGGUCAGCGGAAUGUGGCAUGUAGCGGUGAAAUGCAUAGAUAUGCCAUAGAACACCAAUUGCGAAGGCAGCUGGCUAGACCUGUAUUGACGCUGAGGCACGAAAGCGUGGGGAGCGAACAGG
This 253-nucleotide ribosomal RNA is filed under the name uncultured bacterium. Its description in RNAcentral is "partial 16S ribosomal RNA". It matches the Rfam family "Bacterial small subunit ribosomal RNA", at positions 524 to 776 of the family's 1533-position model. The record is from RNAcentral.